CCUACGGGGUGCAGCAGUGGGGAAUAUUGCACAAUGGGGGAGACCCUGAUGCAGCGACGCCGCGUGAGUGAAGAAGUAUUUCGGUACGUAAAGCUCUAUCAGCAGGGAAGAAAAUGACGGUACCUGACUAAGAAGCCCCGGCUAACUACGUGCCAGCAGCCUCGGUAAUACGUAGGGGGCAAGCGUUCUCCGGAUUUACGGGGGGUAAAGGGAGCGUAGACGGCAGCGCAAGUCUGGAGGGAAAUCCCAUGGCUUAACCAUGGAACUGCUUUGGAAACUGUGCAGCUAGAGGGCAGGAGAGGUAAGCGGCAUUCCUAGUGUCGCGGUGAAAUGCCUAGAUAUUAGGCGGAACACCAGUGGCGAAGGCGGCUUACUGGACUGUAACUGACGUUGCGGCUCGAACGCGUGGGGAGCACACAGGAUUAGAUACCCGAGUAGUC
This 440-nucleotide ribosomal RNA is filed under the name uncultured bacterium. Its description in RNAcentral is "partial 16S ribosomal RNA". It matches the Rfam family "Bacterial small subunit ribosomal RNA", at positions 338 to 795 of the family's 1533-position model. The record is from RNAcentral.